GCCCUUGUAGCUCAAUUGGAUAGAGCAGGGUCCUCCUAAGGCCAAGAUGGAGGUUCGAAUCCUCCCAAGGGCA
RNAcentral lists this transfer RNA (73 nucleotides) under Candidatus Nealsoniibacteriota bacterium. RNAcentral describes it as "Candidatus Nealsonbacteria bacterium tRNA-Arg". It matches the Rfam family "tRNA". Rfam says of the family: Transfer RNA (tRNA) molecules are approximately 80 nucleotides in length. Their secondary structure includes four short double-helical elements and three loops (D, anti-codon, and T loops). Lineage: Bacteria; Candidatus Nealsoniibacteriota. The record is from RNAcentral. RNAcentral also lists the same sequence under 1 other name.